This 71-nucleotide transfer RNA is filed under the name Marmota monax (woodchuck). Its description in RNAcentral is "tRNA.Ala". It matches the Rfam family "tRNA". From Rfam's summary of the family: Transfer RNA (tRNA) molecules are approximately 80 nucleotides in length. Lineage: Eukaryota; Metazoa; Chordata; Mammalia; Rodentia; Sciuridae. The record is from RNAcentral.
GGGGUUGUAGCUCAGUGGUAGAGCACUUACCUAGCAUGUGUGAGGCACUGGGUUUGGUUCUCAGCACCACA